Long non-coding RNA from Patella vulgata (common limpet), 229 nucleotides. RefSeq lists it as uncharacterized. The record is from RefSeq and is a predicted model, not a curated record. The transcript is spliced from 4 exons. NCBI's taxonomy places the organism in Eukaryota, Metazoa, Mollusca, Gastropoda, Patellidae.
CUGCUAUGAUGUCACAAUAAUAUGAAUGAGAGACUUGGUCUUUUCUUCAUCCAUUGGAAACGCAAACAAUGUUUGCCAUCCAUGCAAAAGUACCAAAAACUUGUGAGAAUUUUAUGAAAUUAGCUGCUAGAGGAUAUUAUAAUGAUACAAUAUUUCACAGAUCUAUACGAAAUUUUAUGAUACAAGGUGGUGACCCAACUGGAACAGGCAAAGGAGGAGAAUCAGCUUG